RNAcentral lists this long non-coding RNA (19420 nucleotides) under Sorghum bicolor (sorghum). Its description in RNAcentral is "long non-coding RNA (SBIC_LNC017836)". The record is from RNAcentral. Lineage: Eukaryota; Viridiplantae; Streptophyta; Magnoliopsida; Poales; Poaceae.
CAAGCACAAACACAAUGGAGAUCAGGCGAUAACUUUUCCAAAAAGAAUAUUGAAGAACCUUUGUGUCCGAGUUGGUACCUUGUAUGCCCCAGUAGACUUCGUAGUGGUAGAGACCGGAAAUGAUGAGAGAGCACCUAUCAUCCUAGGGAGGCCAUUCUUGAACACCACGGGAGCUAUCAACUACGUUAGUGCUGCCAAGAUUAGUUUCUACAUCAAGGGGAAGAAGGAGACUUUCCUUCAAGAACAAGACUACACAAGCUUCAGAGCAAUCCCGACAUAAACCAAGGAAGAGGACCAACAGGAGGAACAGGAACAAGCAAAUGUGGACCGAGUCAGCUAAGAUGGUCACUGCAGCUCAAGGAGGUCAAGAUCGUCGACUCAAGUCACCUUUCUUGAUCAAGAAGGAUGACCCUGGUGUUCCAAGAAUCGAAUGCACAAACAAUGGAUACUCUUUUUAGAAGACACUCUACGACACCGGAUCUGACGACAACAUAAUGGCCGCAGUCACUUAUCAGCUCCUGCAUAGAACCAUGCCCCUACAACCAAGAUACAUUCAGCUUCAAACAACUUUCAGGUCAUUGACAUGGGAGAAGACAAGUAUGAUCCAUCCACCAUCCUUGGAAGACCGUUCCUAAACACUAUCAAAGCCAUUAUCUAUAUUGGAACCGGAGAAGACCACAUGCACUUCCCCUCUGAGAAGGUACGCCACUACUUUAAUGAUUCUAACUAUAUAGUUGAAGAUUCUAAGCAGGUCAGGACAAGAAGAAGACAAACCGCAACCAGAGGAGGCAAUUCAUCAAGGACGGAUGGGUAGACUACAAAGGAGAAGUGAUAAGGACUGAAGACAUACAACUUGAACAGAACUGUCCUGAGGAGACCGUAGCACCGAGUCAGAAAGAGAAGAUAGUUAUACACGAAACGGAGGCGCCACCGGAAUCACCGACUACGUCAUCCAGCGAAUCCCAGGACGACUGAGAAAACGGAGAGUCCCGUUCGGAGGACUUAAAAACACCAAACGCCUUGCCAAGAGGUAAACUUGGUAGUUAUCCUUUCCCUUUUAAUUAUUUCAAAUAGUUUACUUAGUUAAUCAUGUUCGUAUUAUUCUAGAAAGAAAAUAAAAUUGUGAAAAAAACUAUAAGCCCCAUGUGAGUAGACGAGUGGCAUAAAACCCAUAAGUACAUUCACUAUGGUGGCAUAAAAAUAAAAUAAAUAUUUUUCUGCUUUAUAAAAACAAAAAUAUAAAAACAGGGAGUAAUAUUUAUUAAGGAGUCUCAACAUGAUAAAGGCUAGAUAUUUAUGCUAACACUUAAUCAGUUCCACAAGCUUUGUUGUCUAUUUGAGCUCCACAGAAUUUAAGAUUCAAGAAGACUAGCAGACGGAGGACAUUCUAAUCGCUGUCAAAAUACUGCUGACUUUCAAACACACCUCUGCCACCUGCUAGCUACAUCAAGAGAAAUUACGUCAAAAUUCAGUUUGGGGGAGAGCACCCCCAUUUAUCUCGAUAAGUAUUUCUAUCUAUCUAUCUUUAUACUUAUAUUAUAUUAGAAUAUUAAAAUACAUAAACUAUGAAAAACCAAAUAAAGAUUUCAUGCUUAUUUGUCUUUUGCUUAGUGUGUUUAAUAAAUAAAUAAAGUGGCUAUGCUGAUCUGUAUCUAAAUAAAACUUAAGCAUGGAUAUGAUGAAUAGUUGCUCUGCCUAAUUUGCACAUUUUAAGUUCUCUCUCAAGUUUAGACAUAACUGUUAUAAUUUAAAGCUUGCUCUAGACCUAAACUUGUGGGAUGAAAACUUGAUCUGAAGUUUAAGUUGUUAACAGAUACGAUAUGGGAAGGUUGAGCUGCUGUUUAUCUGUUCCUAGAGAUGCUAGAAUUCUGGAGAAUUUUAUCUUUGAAAAUCUUUAAAAUAUUGCAUGAUGAGUUCCUGUAUGAUGAGAGUUUAAAUUCCUACCACAGCCAUAUAUACAUGCUUGCUAGACUUUGAGCCACACAUUUACUAUUUACUGCUUAUGAGCAUUGAGUGUAGUCAAGCUGUGUAGACCCUUAGGAACUUGUCAUGUGGUUAAAUCAAGAUUUCACUUGCACGUUCACUCAUAUAUGCUACUUCUACUCCGGAAGUACCAUCCACAUAUAUUCACCCAUUCCAUCUCCAGAAUCAACCAAAAAUAUUCUACUCCUAAUCCGGGAGAGAAUAACCAAAAAUAUUUCGAUUUCCCUUUGUGAAAUAAAUGCUCAAGUUAUCUUGUUACUACCACUUGCUAUAUUAUCUCAAGAGAUGAGUGCUCUAGUAAAAAAAAAGAGAGAAAAAAAAUAAUAAAUACGAGGAAAUAAAAGGGAGCAAGUGCUCGGAACCUCGAAAGAAAAAGAAAAAGUGAGACGAGAGGUAAAAAUGGACAAGUGUCCGACAGUAGAUUUAGGGGUGCAAGAUACCCACCUGAGAGAAAAGAAAAAGAAGAGCAUCUCAUUCUCCUCAUAAAGUUUCAAAAGCAAGGAAGGUAUGUAUCCCCUCAAAGAGCAAAAGUAGAAUUAGACUUCCACCACCAUUGUUUUCACCAUUGUUAUCACCAUCAUCACCAUACACCAUUCAUUCGCCACACAUGCACAUCUUGAUUUGGCUUAUUGAUUUGUUUCUUUGGAUCCAUGGUUUGACUAUGCAAUAAAUGUCUUGUAAGUAUGUACAUUUUAUCUCCCACCUAUGAGCUCCAGAUAUUAAAGCCUUAUUAGAGUAGGGUGAGAGAGAAGACAAUGUCACUAUGCUUCAUACCACAAAUACUACAUAUCUUGAGAGAAGGCAUAUACCAUCACUGCCUUGGUAAGGAUCCAAAAAUACCACAAAAGAGAGACCUGAGAGAAUCAUACAAGGAAUUUCUGAGUUUUAUUUGAAAAUCUGCAAAAAACCCCAGAGCUAUAGCUGAUCAAGAAUAAAAGACAUGGCACUUGGCUAGACUGUUCUAUCUUUGAACCACUCAAGACAGAAGUGACGGUUACAAGUCCUAUGGUGUAGGUAAAGUAAGUAAGUUUUAAGUCUUAACAGUUUAUUCUAACUCAGAGAUGAGAUCUUGCUUAAAUGCGUGUGUACUUCUAAGAAAUGAAACCACUGCAGAAACUCUUGAGUUCAUCCUUGCUCAGGGACGAGCAAGAGGUAAGCUUGGGGGAGUUUGUUGACGGUCCUUAAGUAUCAAAUUUAAUUAUCAAAUAAACAAAGAAAAGGAUCCAAAUGAAAUCAACAUCUAGACUUAGGGUUUUAUCUGAUAGAAUUCCACGAGUUUUGGUGUUUGUCUAUUUCUGCAGGGGGUUAUCAGGAAAUAAGGAAGAAAGGCCCACAUGUCGGGAUUACAUAGAGAUAUCAACCCACCGCGCAAUUUUCUACCAUCUAGAAGACUCCAGAAGCCACGGGAAGGAAGCGGAGCCCGAAAGGGGCCAGGCCCAGGGCGCCCGCCCUGAGGACCUAAGCGCCCGCCCACCUCUGGACCCCGUUCUGGACUCUCUUCGCACACGACGUUCCACCGACCUAUUGGAUCCAGAAUAACAUAGUACCACCUCACCUAUCGACCCAAAAACGCAUAGAAGGGGAGGACUAUAUAAGGAGACCCCCUUUGGCCCCUGGAGGAGACAAGAAAUUAUCAUAGAGAUUGAGGGGUGCCCUCGAAGGAAAACCUCUUCUCUAAAUAAUAUUUCUUUUUAGGCUUAGCAACCAAUGUAAAGUAGAAAUAGAUCUUCUAGUUUCUACUAGAUUGAGAGAGAUAGAGUGGAGGUGUAGAUCAGAGGAAGGCCGGCCUGUCGGUGUCUACUCCGAGUUGUACCUACGGGAUCAACUCUCCUAACCCGAGGCUUGCUUCUAAGAUUCUUCAGUAAUUCGACUUCUAAUACUAGUAAGUUCUUGUUUUAUUGUUCUUUGGUUUAUGAGUUUACUUUAAUCCUCUUCCGGUUGAGUAUUAGAGUAAUCACUUGUUAGCGUAAACGUGGUGUUUAGGCUAGGGUACUCAUAGAUAUCCCCUGACUAGCUGGACCGUGGUAGUAGCGAGGAACGUGACAUUUCUGAGUUACCUUUGCAGAUCACAUCUCGUUAGCAGGACGGGUAGGUUUAUAGGUGCGGGUCGAACAUCCUUUGUGUUGUCUAGAUUCCGUGAGCCUCCCCAAUAGAACAGUAGAUCAUCCUUACCAAGGUUAGAACGAGACUAAGGUUGUAGUCUUCUCUAUACAUCACUCACAUCGAGAGACAUUCUUUGUAGCCUAAAGGGAUAGUAGCAAUAGAUUUGGUUAGUCAGAUGCACCCUUUCUCCCAGUGGUAAAAAUAUAAAUAUGAUAACUCUGGAUAAUCUCCCGGGUGAAAUGCUCACCGAUAUCCGUGCGCUUGCGGAUCAUUUCCUCAUUGCGUUACCAAAUAUCAACAACAUAUCAGAUUGUCCUCACCAUGGAAUGGCCACAUGGUUGCUUAUGCUGACCUUCUACCAUGGAUUAACCCAGAAGGCUCGUGAGUGCCUAGAUGCAUCUACUAAAGGAUCAUUCUUGGAGCUUACAAUUAGAAAAGCAGAGAUACUUUUGGAUAAGAUAGCAGAAAACCAAAGCUGGUUCCAAGAUAAAGCUCAACAAUGUCAUCAAACUGAAGAAAUACCAGAAGAAGUAAAUGCAUUAUCAACUAAGAUGGAAAAUUUGCUCCAUUGGAUUGACCAGAGGGCCAAGUUCAAAGAAGAUCAAAGGGCCAUUGAGACAGCAUACAAAUAUCAACCAACUUCGAGUCAACCCAAUAGCAAACGUAUGAAUUCAGGAAAUACUUUCAAGCAACUUUCAUUAAAAGAGAUAAUUGCUCAACAAACCAAAAUUAAUGAUGAAGUUAAACAAAGGCUAGAUACAAAUGAAUCAUCUCUAAAAGAUAUACACAAUAAAAUGGAUUUUCUACUAACUGCCUUUGAUGAGCAAAACACUCUUAAUAAAAGGGUAGAGCUUAAAUUGAUAAAGAUAGCUGCUGCACUGCCUGUUGCUACUAACCUUGAGCAGGUCAAGAAUAUAACUACUAGAGGAGGCAAAGCUACCAGAGAUCCCCCAUACCCAAAAGAGAAACAAAGAACAUCAGCACCAGUGCAACCAGCAGUGAUAGAAGAAGAAAGCCUAGUUGAAGCAGAAGAUCUGCUCCAACCACCAAGAACUGGAGAAAUGUGGAAAGAUUUUUACGACACCAACUAUUUGCCAUUUCCCAGAAGAAAUAGAGGACUGCAGUCGGAUGAGCAGUUUGGUAAGUUUGUAGAGGUCAUUCAGAAAUUAUAUGUCAACAUACCUCUGCUCGAUGCCAUACAGGUACCUACAUAUGCAAAGUACAUCAGAGAUAUUCUUAACAAGAAGAGACCACUGCCCACCACUGAGGUUAUCAAGCUGACAGAAGAAUGUAGUGCGGCCAUCCUCAACAAACCACCAAAGAAGAAGGAAGAUCCAGGAUGUCCCACUAUUGACUGCUCGAUCGGAAACCAACACUUCAAUAAUGCACUUUGUGAUCUCGGAGCAAGUGUCAGUGUGAUGCCAGUAUCAGUCUACAAAAGGCUUGAGCAUGCGACCCUAGAACCAACAUCAAUGUGACUACAAUUAGCGGAUCAAUCGGUUCGACACCAUCUGGGCAUCGCCGAGAACAUUCCAGUCAAGAUCAGAGAUUUCCUUGUGCCAGUAGACUUCGUAGUAUUGGACAUGAGUCCUGACUCAAAAGUGUCCAUCAUCCUUGGAAGGCCAUUUCUGAGCACUGCCAAUGCCCACAUUGAUGUCGGGAAAGGAGAAAUCAAGUUCAACAUAAACGGUCAAGAAGAACACUUCACAUUCAAACCCAAACUAGAGAGAGACUCUACAGUGAAGGAAGUUCAUGAAGAACCAUUGGAGACACCAUCUCCGGAGGAAGGUAACUCAGAAGAUUAAAAGAUUUGGAGGUCCAGCUUGGGGGACCUAAAAAUCCCAAACCCUCACCGGGAGAUAAAUCGGUAUUUAUCUGCAUUAUUAAUUUUAUCAUGUUUAAAUUCUUGCAUAAUUAAUUCUUGCAUUAGUCAUAGCAUAAUUAUAAUAAUCAAAAAGCCCCAUAUAAAUAAUAUUCGUGGUGUGUAACAACCCAUAUUUAUUAAUUAUUGUGGAGGCACAAAAAAUAUUUUCCAUUAUCAUUAUCAUUAAGUUUCAAUUCUCAUAGAUUUUCCUGCAUUAUAUUUAGUUAUAUUAAUCUUCUAGAAGCACGACCCACACUCCUUGGGUCCCACAUGCCAUACACUUCACCUCACAUACAUCCCAUCACAUAAUUUCAUCCACCAAUAUGUUUCCACUCACCAGACAUCUUUCCACCAUCCAACAACCACCACACAACAUUAUUCUGCGUGAGAUCAAAGCAAGGAAGCAAGUGGAGAAGGCACACCCAGGAUGGACACCAGGAGUGGGCGCCCGCCCACCUACCAAGGGCGCCCGCCCUGUCCCCUCUUGCUCCUAUAAAUAGCCACAUUCUACCUCCAUCUUCUUCACACAAACACUCCAGAAAACCACACAAGUUUCAGUUUCCCGAGAAGGAGCACUUGUAGUGAAGAGAAGAGAGUAGAGAGAAAGAGGAGAGUGGAAGAGAAGGUUGGGAGUUCUUUCGAGAGAGUGAUUAUCACCUAGCAAGUAGUGAUCCUGUUGUCUAAGCGGAAGUAAAAGUUGUUUAGGGGGGAGGCCCUACCAAAAUAGAAACUUGUCUUGAACGAUUAACCCCUGGACUACUGACAUUCCGGACAGCUGACCACUAACAUUUUCUCUCACAUUUUCCACUAGUUGUGUUUUUGCCAACUUUUCUUUGCAGAAUGUUUAAGAAGGUGAAGAAUGCAGGAAAGGCUCUCAAGAACAUUGGUACAAGGAGUUCAGCCCGACACUCCUCACAGCCAUCAGAGAUGAGCGUCGACCCGACACCCACACAAGCUCCAUCAUCUUCAUCAGGUCAGCAAGUUAAGGUCCUUCUUAAGAUAGGAGACCUUGGACUGAAGACCCAAAGAGAGAAAGAAGUCUAUCAACAACUGAAGAACAAAGAUUUUAUUCACACCCCUACUAUCGAUCCAAUCUUACUACAAGAAACAGGUAUGGACACUGAAUUUGACUUAAUUUUAUAGAUGUUAGGUUGGACAAAUUUUUGGAAUAUAACUGAGCUGGGUUCUCGUCUUCUCACCCUCGAAUUUCUUUGCACUUUACAAUACUAUGAGGGGGGAAUUGUUUUUCGGAUGUUCAAACAGGAAAUUAUGUUGUCUUGGAGAGAGCUGAGCGACCAUCUUGGUUUCUCUUCAAGAUGCAUCCUGAACAUUGACUCCGAUUUACCCAAUUUUGAGAGACACCAAUUUUGGAGAGAAAUAUCUAGAGAUAAUUUUUAUAGUCAAGCCCGAACCAGUGACAUGGAACACCCUACUCUUAGGAUGUUCCACAAAUGGCUUGGGUACAAUCUUUUCUAUCGUGAUGAUAUUAGGAAAGUAAGAGUAGGAGAUUUACAACUUUUAUAUGCUGCUAUUAAUAAAGUACCCACUUCACCUAUUACACUUUUAGUUUCACAUUGGCUUAGUGUACCUAGUCUGCAGGGACCAGUAGGAUGUACUUCACUUAUCACUCAUUUAGCCUCUAAUCUUCAUUUACUAGAAAACUCAUCGUUGGAUUUCAUAGAGGAGUUAAGAAUUUAUCAUGGCUAUGACACAUUUAGACAAGCUCAGAUGUUAAAGAAAGAGGGGAAUGUAAUGUAUAUGCUAUAUGAUGAUAAAGGCAAGAUUCGGUUACCUAACCCGAACCUUGGCCUAUACGUUGUGCAAAAUCUUUUGAUUGAGAUUGCAGCAACACUAGUGAACCAGAGAGCUCCACAGCGAGUGGCAUCUGAAAGGGUGACCACUCACCGAGAACGCACCUGGUAUGGAGCUGACCCUGGACCAGAAGAAGCAGCGCACCUGCAUUAUUGCAAUUACAACCCCCGAGUCCUUCGAGACCCAUGGGUUCGUCAUGCGCAACCACAAGAGCCAACAGAGGAGACAUAGCCGGAGAGCCAAGAUCACCGGUGGACAAACCCGCCUUUCCAUACGGGCAGGUACUCCACUGAUCCAUAUGGAGCUUCAGGAUCCAGACCUCCGCCCCAAUUUGAUGCAGGACGAUACUCCGAUGCCUCCUACGCUUUCACGAAUAACUACUCUCAAGAGGCCGGUGCUUUCUUCACUCGUACCGACAACACCCUCCUCGACAUCCAGAACACGCAAGCAGAACAUGGAAGACUCCUGGAAGAGCAACAAAAAUGGAACCAGGACCAUGCUGCUGCAGUACAAGAGCUGAGACAAGAUACAACAACAAUGAAUGACAACAUCACAACUAUGAUGCGGUUCUGGAACAUCGGGUAAGACCGACGUCAACAUCCAGCUUGGGGGAGUUCCUCCCUAAUUUAUCAAGUAAGUUUUUAUUUGCUCUUCUUAUUUAUUCUUUUCUAUUUUAGUAUUUUAUCUUAAAAAGGAAAAACUUAGAAAACCCAAUAAAUAUUUUCUUGCUUUAAAUUACUGCAUUUUAUAAACAUGAAAACAAAAUAAAAAGAGUGUGUAGAUAAGUGUGCUUUAUUUAUCUGUUAAGAGUUAAUCUCUAGAAAAAAUAAAAAGACCAAAAAGAUGCAUUAUGGAAAUGAUGAAUAGUUGCUCUGUUUGCUUACUUUCAAGUACCUAGCUUUUAUAUUAGAGUUCUUCCAGGAAUUACUAAAACUGAAACUUACUAUCUUUGGGAAGCAUAAAACUAAUGUCUAGGUAAGCGAAAGGCAUGAUUUAAAGUUGAGCUACUGUUUAUCUUGUUCCUACUACACUAAGUUCUGGAGAUUUAUUUUGAAAACUUACAAAUCACAUGAUGAGAUUCCUAGCAUUACAAACUACCUACCACAACCAUACUUGCUAUAACAUCUUUUACUACACUUACAUUGAGUUUGAUUGAGCUGUGUAGACCCUUAGGAGCUUUUCAUGUGGUUAAAUUAAGAUAUUCACUUGCACACAUCUACUAUACCAUUCAUCAUCAUUCAUUAAAAUUGCUAAAAAUAUUAUCACUCACUGUCCCGAAUAUUGUUAUUCUCUCUCUAAAAAGAUUCAAUGCAGAAGAGGCAUGGGUUAUGCAAAAAUAUGCGAGGAAAUAAAAAGUGGCAAGUGCCUGGAACCUCGAAGAAAAAAAAAGAAGAAAGAAAAAGAGUGAGACGAGAGGUAAAAAUGGACAAGUGUCCAAAGUAGAAUUAGGGGUACAAAGAUACCCACUUGAGCGGAAAAAAUGGACAAGUGUCCGACAGUAGAAUUAGGGGUAUCUACUACCCACCUGAAAAAAAAGAGAUAGCCCAUGUUCUCCCAAAGCAAAGAUCAGAGAAGAGGAGAGAUAGCAAUAUGAGGAGCAAUGAGAAGUAAGUUUCAUUAUCACUUAUACAUUUUUAUCAUCACUAUCAUUUACUCCACCACACAUGCACAUCUUGAUUUAAUUAUAUGCUGAGUUCCUUUUGGAUCCAUAGCUUGAUUAGACAACAUAUGUAUGAGCUGUUUUUUUCACUCCUAUGAGCUCCACUUAAAUAUUCCAUUAGCUAUAGGUAAGUGACAUUAUGGUAAGGAUCCACAAAUACCACAUAUAGAGAGACUUGAGAGAAUCAUUGCUGGGAACUCUGAGUUUUAUUUUGAAAACUUAUGAAAAAUUCUAGAACAAAGGUGAAGUAUAAACAGGAGGAAUAGUGUUUGACUUAACUAUUUUGUCUUUCGAUUACUUAAGAUUUAAGUGCAGGUACUAAACUCCAUAACACUUCACUCUAAUCUGGAAGAAUUUUAUGCAAAAGCAUGUGUGACUGUCAGGAAAGAAAACAUCGAAGCAACUUCUGAUCCGUUUAAGUUUAGCUUUUUGCUCAGGGACGAGCAAAGGGUAAGCUUGGGGGAGUUUGUUGACGGUCCUUAAGUACUAAAAUUAAUAAUCAAAUAAACAUGGAAAAGGAUCAAUAUGAAAUAAACAUCUAGAAAUAGGGUUUUAUCUGACCGAAUUCCACGAGCUUUGGUGUUUAUCUAUUUCUGCAGAGGGUUAUCAGAGAAUAUGGAGAGAAGGCCCACAUGUCAUGUUUACAACGAGAUAAUUACGUGCCGCGCAAUUUUCCUCAAUCUAGAAGGGUCCAGAAGCCACGGGAACGAACGAGAGCACGAUCGGGCUCGGGGGCAGGGCGGCCGCCCAACCCCCCUUGGGCGCCCGCCCAGGGUUGGAGACCAAUCGGGACUCUGCUUCAGGACUACACUCCACCGACCUAAAGGAUCAAUCUAAACCAUACAAUCUAUGUCGGUUUGAUCCAAUGGCUCACGUUCACUUGAGGGGACUAUAAAACCAAGGCCAAACCCCCCCUGGAAGGAGGAGAAGAGAAGAAAUCAUUAUUCAGAGGUAGCCAUCAAAGUUAGGGUUUAGAGCUUCUCUCCCACAGAGAAUUAGAAUUAGCUACUCCCUAAUCCUUCAAGUUUAGAGGUUUGAUUAGAUAGCAAUUAGAGAAGUAGAGCACUACGCUCUGGAUUCGGAUCUUCGGUAAUAAAGAUUGGUAUUAUUCAUAUCUUUCUCUAAUUCUUUGUUCUAAUUGCAUUAUGUCUCUAAUUAUUAUGUUCUUAGUUUCUUCUAGUUCUAUAUUUGAUAUAGUUCUAAUUGAUAAUGAGUUUAUGUAUAAGUUUGCAAAGCGCUUAGCUCUUGACGCGAGGGAGUUAGGUGAUAGAUCACAUAUGAGCGUGGUGCUUAGAUGUUAUUUAUCUGCAAAUGUAUCCUAUUGGCCGGGUCGUGUGGUAGUUCGCGAUAGUGACAGCUUCGUUGAUUCUUAUAUUGUCCACCCUCCGUUGAUAGGACAGGCAGAACCGGUAUUGUGGAGUAAGUCAUGCGAUGCUCUGAUUUACUUUAUCAAUGUUCCUUAUACAUGAAUGAAGAGUCUUUUAUGCUAUAUAUGAUCUUGUAGAUAACUAGAGUAGAUUAUGACUUAGUAGUUAGUAGAUAACUUAGAAUCCAUUCUCUAGCUAAUCCAACAUCACCUACAUAUAUGAGUAGUCUAUUUUCUAAUCGCUGUGUUAUCUACCCAUGAACUUAUACUUUAUUAUCAUUAUCUUUAUGGUUUACCCCCUGCUAAAGUAAGUGACUGUGUGACGAGUUUCUCAUUAGUAAUCAUGUUCUUACAAGUUUAUCUCUAGUCUAUGCCUUGAUAGAUUUUGCCCCCUUAUUUUAAUUUCAUCCCUCGAGCAAAAUUAUAAAUAACGAUACCUGGAAUACUUAUCCUGGUGAAAUGCUACAAUGAGGUGUUUUAUCUGUGCGCUUGCGGAUAGAAUAGAUUAUUUUCUAGAAGAGCCUUUACAUUUAUAAAUACCUUUGUACACUCUGGUACCAUGCUGGGGAUGACAACCUAGUAUCUAAGUGGUGUUAGCUAGUGUCAAUAAUGGACAGGGCAGUUUGUCUUUCCACAAGUGCCUCACCAGAAGCAUCAAGAUAUGGGGUUUCAGCAGGGACCAGUGCAACCUAGAUUUCAGAAUCAAGGGUUGAUCAACCACCCAAUGAAUCUGGGUCAGCAAGUUGGUGGUCAGUAGGCAAUGGUUAAUCCAAUAUUCCCUGGAGAUCGUGCACCACAAAGACAUGUAGAAGCUUAUCAGCAGGUGCCAGAUCCGCAAUCACCCCAUCGGCAAGAUGCCGAUGCUUAUUGGGCCGAUAAGAUAGCUGAGGUGAUGAGAGACCAAUUUGGGAUAAAACCCAGAGUCAACACUUAUUCUUAUCGGACACCAUAUCCUCCUGCGUAUGACUUAAUUCCACUUCCAAAUCGGUACAAGGUACCAGAUUUCACCAAGUUUUCUGGGCAGGAUGAUACAUCGGCUAUGGAGCAUGUUAACAGGUUCAUCAUCUAGUGUGGAGAAGCUGCUAACAGAGAUGAGUUAAGGGUUCGCUUGUUCUCAUCAUCUUUGUGUGGAUCGGCCUUUACUUGGUUUAUUUCAUUACCUCCUAACUCAGUGAUCACUUGGGUCGAUCUAGAGAAACAAUUCCAUAAAUACUUCUUUUCUAGAGUUCAUGAGAAGAUUACUGAUUUAGUCAGGCUAAAGCAACGCAAUGAUGAAUCGGUUGAAACCUUUGUGCAAAGGUUGCGAGAGGUUAAGAAUAAGUGCUAUAGUCUGGUUCUGGACGAUCGACAGCUAGCCGAUUUGGCUUUCUAGGGAUUGUUGCCACAUAUCAGAGACAAGUAUGCUUCUCAAGAGUUCGAAAGUAUGAGUCAUUUAGUGCAGAGGAUUUCUGACCAAGAUAUCAAACCUUUUGAACCUAAGAGAACAUGGAAUAAAAAGGUGUCAUUUGUCGAUGAAGCAACAAGUUCAGAUUCUGAUGAAGAACCAGUCAUCGGCUUAGCAGAGUGGGUGAAAAACAAGGAGCCGAUGUCUUGCCCUUUUGGGCAUAGAGAGCCACAAAAGUUUGCAUUUGAUAUCACCAAAGCCGAUAGGAUAUUUGACUUUCUACUUCAAGAAGGGCAAAUUAAGUUGUCACCCAAUCAUGUGAUUCCAUCGUCAGAGAAAUUAAAGAAGAUGAAAUACUGCAAGUGGCAUAAUGCAACAUCUCACAGCACAAAUGAGUGCAAGGUUUUCAGGCAACAACUGCAAUCGGCUAUAGAAUCUGGGAGAAUUAAGUUUGAUAAUUCCAAAGCUCAGAAGCUGAUGAAGAUCGAUCAACAUCCUUUCCCUACAAAUAUGUUGGAUGCUAAGGGAAAAACCAAGGUCUUAACGUCAGAGGCACCUGAAAGAAGUGCAUCGGUAGAUCCUCAGCACCAGAUUACUGCUGAUGAUGCCAAAGGCAAUGGAUUGAUCCAGGAAGGGACCAGCUCAGGAAUACCUCCCCGAUCUCGCAUUGUGAUAACUCAUAGAAGGCAUCAGGAGACCUGGCAGCAACGUGAAGAUCGGUAUCGGCGCUAGCAGGAGGAUCGUCGUAGAGAAGAAGAAAGGCGCCGACAAGAGUGGAAUCGGCAUAAAGAUCACUGGAAUUGUCUGUUUUUCAUCCAAUGUUGGGAACAAAAUAUCAAGCUACCAACUGUUAGAGACUGCCCUGAAUGCAAAGGCUAUGAUUGGUAUGAUAGACCAAAUCGGCAGUAUCAGAACAAUGAUCGGCGUUUUGAUGGGCUGAUUAGGGGAAGAGCCUCGGUUCAUGAUCAGCUUGGGGGCAGGCUCAGUGUGCAUGACAGGCUUGGUGACCGUGUCAUGUACUUUCCCUGAACCCAAGAGGAGAUUGAGGAGAUGGCAGAUGCACGGGUUCCCGAUGAGUUCAUAUUUUGCAGAGAUGCUAACACUCAUCUAAUGGAGUCAAGGGAAAAUCGCUGCCAAUCGGUAAGGCAGCCACAACUUCCUCCAUGGUGUCCAGAGGGGCUGACUAAGACACAGAAAAGAAGGCUGCAGCGUGAAAGACGAGAAGAGUUGAGUAAAGGAGAGAAUUCUGCUAAGUUUGAAGAUCAGCAGCAGCUAGAUCCUAAAGGAAAAGGGCCAUUGGCAGAUGUUAAUAUGGUGUUUAUGUUGCCGAUGGAGUUCCUUGCGCCAUCCAGUGAUAAUGAGGAGGAGGAUUUCUCCGACCAAAUAGCUCAGUUAGCUCUGGAUCCGAUGACAGCUAUCUUUGAGAAGCCUACCGACAAUGAAAGACAGCAUCUUAAAGCUCUAUUUGUCAAAGGUAGGGCUGAUGGAUAGCCGAUGACCAAAAUACUUGUUGAUGGUGGGGCUGCUAUCAAUAUUAUGCCGUAUGCAGUCUAUCGGAAACUUGGGAAAGGAGAUCAAGACAUAACCAAGACCGAUAUGAUGUUGAAAGAUAAGGAGCCAAAUGUGUCGAGUUGACUAUCAGUAACAAAACAUUACCGACAACUUUCUUUGUCAUCAGUGGAAAGGGUGCUUAUAAUAUGUUGUUGGGGAGAGAUUGGAUCCAUGCCAAUUGUUGCAUCCCGUCUACAAUGCACCAAUGUUUGGUUCAGUGGGUAGGUGACAAGAUUGAAAUUGUCUCGGGAGAUUCUUCUUAUGUCAUCGCAUCGGCGGAAGCAGAUACUUAUGAAAGGACUAGAUGCAUUUCAGGGGAGAUUUGGGAAAAGGAUUUUCUCAAAGUUGCCGAUUAUGAAAUUCCACUAAUCCAAGCAGUCGGUUCUGAUGAGGAGUUUUAAUGGAUAGGUUCGCCGAUGAUGGAAAAUUAGGACAGGGGUUUACGUCGGCCGAUGAUUUAGUAGAAGUAGAUAUAGGUAAUGGUGAUAGACCUAGGCCUACAUUUAUUAGUGCUAAGUUAGAUUCUGAGUGUAAGCAACAGUUAACCGAUUUGUUAAGGGAAUAUAAAGAUUGCUUUGCUUUGGUUUAUACCGAGAUGCCUGGUUUAGACCGAUCUAUUGUCGAACAUCGGUUACCUAUCAAAUCUGGAUUUCGGCCACAUCAGCAGCCAGCUCGCCGAUGUAAUCCUAAUAUUCUUCCUGAUAUUAAGGCCAAAAUAAUUAAACUUAUUGAGGCUAAAUUUAUUCGGCAGUGUCGGUAUGCCGAGUGGAUUUCCAAUGUUGUUCCAGUUUACAAGAAGAAUGGGAAUCUUAACAAGGCUACACCGAUGGAUGGCUAUCCAAUGCCAGUUGCCGAUUUGCUAGUUGAUGCUGCAGCUGGACAUCGGGUUAUUAGCUUUAUGGAUGGAAAUGCAGGAUAUAAUCAGAUAUUCAUGGCUGAAGAAGAUAUUCCAAAGACCGCAUUUAGAUGUCCUGGUCAUGUUGGAUUGUUUGAAUUGAUAGUCAUGACCUUUGGCUUGAAAAAUGUUGUGCUACUUAUCAGAGGGCUAUGAAUUUUAUCUUUCAUGAGUUCAUCAGUAAACUGGUUGAAAUUUACAUUGAUGAUGUGGUGGUUAAGUUUGGGGAUUUCACAAAGCAUCUUGCCGAUCUGCGAAAGGUGUUGGAGUGCACUAGAAAACAUGGUUUGAAGAUGAAUCCUAAUAAGUGUGCAUUUGGUGUAUCGGCAGGGCAAUUUCUUGGUUUUAUGGUGCAUCAGAGAGGAAUUGAAAUUAGUAGGAGAUCUAUUGAUGCCAUCAACAAAAUAGUUGCUCCUACCGACAAGACUGAACUCCAGUCUCUGAUCGGCAAGAUAAAUUUUAUUAGGCGGUUUAUAUCUAAUUUGUCUGGUAAAAUUUGUACUUUUAGUCCUUUACUUAAAUUGAGAGCCGAUCAAGAGUUUGUGUGGGGAAAAGAGCAACAAUCAGCCUUGGAUGAAAUCAAGAAUUAUUUAACAAAUCCUCCAGUUCUGAUUCCACCUUAGCAGGGAAAGCCUUUCAAAUUAUAUUUGUCUACCGAUGGGAUGGUCAUCGGUUCGGCUUUGGUUCAAGAAUUUGUAGGGAAGGAGCGUGUGAUUUAUUAUUUAAGUAGAAGACUGAUUGAUGCUGAGGCCAAGUAUUCGGCAAUUGAAAAGUUAUGUUUGUCCUUAUACUUCUCAUGUGUUAAGUUGAGACAUUAUUUGCUAUCGGCCGAAUGCACUGUUAUAUGCAAAGAUUAUGUAGUCCGAUACAUGCUAUCUAUGCUGAUUACGAGUGGUAGAAUCGACAAAUGGAUUUUGGCGCUGUCGGAAUUUGAUCUACGUUAUGAAUCGGCUAAGGCAGUUAAAGGGCAGAUUAUGGCCGAUUUUGUGACUCAACAUUGUGGUGUAGUGGGGACUUUGGAAAUUGUUCCUUGGACGCACUUCUUUGAUGGAUCUACGUGUGACCGGGGGGCAGGAAUUGGUAUAGUAUUAGUUUCUCCUCAGGGAAAGAAGUAUGAGUUCUCUUUGCCAAUUGUUGCCACGUCAACAAAUAAUCAAGCUGAAUAUCAAGCUUUGAUCAAAGGGUUGAAAUUGUUAAAAGAGGUUCAUGCUGAUGCUGUUGAAAUCUUCGGUGAUUCUAUGCUUGUUAUAAAUCAAUUUGCUGGAAUUUAUGAAUGCCGAAGCGAAGUCUUGAUAACCUAUUAUGAAAAGAGUAUGUAGCUAUUGAAGGAAUUCAAGGAUUUCCGAUUAGAGCAUGUUCCUCGAUUACAUAAUGAGGAGGCUAAUCGGUUGGCUCAGCAUGCCUCGGGAUAUCAAGCCAUAUUAAACACGUUAUCGGCAAUCGGUGCUGAUGAUUGGAGAAAGAAGAUCAUUGAUUAUUUAAAAGAUCCAUCUAAAAAGGUUGAGAGGCGUGUCAGGUUUCAAGCUACCAAGUAUGUGCUCCUUGGGGAUGAGCUAUAUUAUCGAACAAUAGAUGGGCUUCUUCUCAAGUGCUUAGGUGAUGAUGAGGCUAAAAGUUUGAUGGGUGAAAUCCAUGAAGGAGUAUGUGGAGCGCAUCAGUCAGCUUUUAAGAUGAAAUGGAUGAUUAGGGAAACGGGUAUUAUUGGCCGAAUAUACUCGAGAAUUGCUUUAAAUAUUUCAAACGAUGUCAGAAAUUUGGCAAUAUUCAAAGGGCACCCGCGUGGGCUAUGAAUCCCAUUAUUAAGUCUUGGCCGUUCUGGGGAUGGGCUAUUGAUCUAAUCGGCCAGAUUUACCCACCAUCAAGCAAAGGGCAUAAGUUCAUCUUAGUUGCCACUGAUUAUUUUACUAAGUGGGUUGAAGCUAUUCCUUUAAAGAAAGUAACAUCGGCUAAUAUGAUUGACUUUGUGAAAGAGCAUAUUGUUUACCAAUUUGGUAUUCCUCAAACAAUCACUACUGAUCAGGGUACUAUGUUCACAUCAGGAGAGUUUGAUGAAUUUGUGAUCGGUAUGGGAAUUAAAGUGUUGAAUUCUUCUCCUUAUUAUGCUCAAGCUAAUGGGCAGGCGGAAGCAUCUAACAAAGGAAUUAUUAAGCUUAUCAAACGAAAGAUUGAAGAACAUCCUAGGACGUGGCAUACAUUAUUGAAUGAAGCCUUAUGGUCAUAUCGGAUGGCAUGUCAUGGGUCGACCAAAGUCUCACCUUAUCAGUUGGUGUAUGGGCACGAUGCAGUACUACCAUGGGAAAUUAAGACCGGAUCUAGGCGACUAUCUUUUCAAGACCAGUUGACUGCCGAUGACUAUGCUACUUAAUAAAAGAUGAGUUAGAUGAUUUAGCAGGACAUCGGCUGAGAGCUUUGAUAAGUGUAUAGGAAAACAAAAAGAGAGUUGCUAGGUGGUAUGAUAAAAGGGUAAAAGCUAAGGAGUUUGCCGAUGGAGAUUUGGUGUGGAAAUUAAUUUUACCGAUAAGGACUAAAAGUUCAAAGUUUGGAAAAUGGUCUCCUAAUUGGGAAGGUCCUUAUCUGAUAAAUCGGUCUGCUCCUGGUAACGCUUAUAUAUUGGAAACUCUUGAAGGAGUUGAAUUUCCCAGAGCAUUAAAUGGAAAAUAUUUAAAAAAAUAUUACCCAAGCAUUUGGGUUGAUGCAUGAAAGUUUAAGUGCCGAUAACACUCCUAUCGGUUGGAUUAAGAUGUAUCUGGGACUGAGCAUGAUGUUUUAAAGGAUGCCGAUAACAAUCCUAUUGGCUAGACCAAAAUAAUCAGAAGUUUCUAAAGGCAGAACAAAACACGCCGCCGAUGAAGAGUUCAUACGUUCAGCAAGGCUUGGAUGGCCGAUAUGGCGCGUAGACGGAUUUGAUCGGCUUCUUCUAUCUCUCGGAUGUCUUCAUCGGCAGAGCCUUCUAUUGGCUUCCACUUCUUCUUCAUCUGCAGCGCCUUGUGGGCCUGAAUGUUUCAUUCUUGUUGGAGGGUCUUGAUUAUUUGGGGCAGCUGAAUUUCUUCUUGCUGAGCUUGAGAGAGAGCCUCUUCUACUUGCUUGAGCUCUGCCAGCAGGGCUUCCCUUUUUGCCGAUAGGUCAGAGAUCUUCUGCCUCAGUGUCUCCCCUGAGGAUUGUAGAAUGUCGAUGCUCUUGUGUUUCUCAUCGGCAAGGUGUUUCACUUGCAUUACUUCCUCUGAGAGCUAGAUGUGAGUGGCUCUAUCGGCAAGACGCAGGGUAGCCUUUUGAUACUGGAGCUGACGGCUUUCCAAGUGUGCAGCUUGGAAAAGAGUUUCCUCGGCAUCGGCUAGGAUUUGACCCCUAAGAGCUUUGAACAAAUCUUUGGCUGGAUCAGAGUCAUCGACCAGUUGAGCAGUGUCUUGGUGUAGCAGAGCCAGCAGAUCCUCUAGUUUUGCUCUGAUUUCUGCCGAUGAAAUCCCUAUCGCUUGAGAAGAGCUUGCUUCCUCGCCUUCGUCAUCAGAAAUUUUGAUGGCAAAAGAAAACAAGCUAUCCGGGGAGUCUUGUUCCUGAAGAAAAAAUAAGAUUAGUUAUUUGAUCAUUGGAUAUUAGUCAUAUAAGGAAUAGAAAUCAGAUAACUUACUUGUUUCAAGGCUAUUUCACGCCUCUGGCUAGUUGAUUGUUGAUAUUUGGGAACGCAAUAAGGAAUUGAUCCGCAAGCGCAUGGAUAUCGGUGAGCACUUCACCCGGGAAAUUAUCCAGAGUAUCGUAUUUAUUUUUUUACCACUAGGAGAAAGAGUGCAUCUGACUAACCGGUCUAUUACUACUAACCCUUUAGGCAACAAAGAAUGUCUCUCGAUGUGAGUGAUAAAUAGAGAAGACUGCAACCGUAGUCUUCUUCUAACCUUGGUAAGGAUGAUCUACUGUUCUAUUGGGGAGGCUAACGGAAUCUAGACACCACAAAGGAUGUUCCACCCGCACCUGUAAACCCUAUCCUUCCUGCUAACGAGAUAUGGUCUGCAAAGGUAACUCGGAAUUGUCACGUUCCUCACUACUACCACGGUCUAGCUAGUCAGGGAAUAUCUAUGAGUACCCCAACCUAAACACCACGUUUAUGCCAGCAAUGAUUACUCUAAACUCUACGCGAAGAGAUUAAAGUAAACUCAUAAACCAGAAGAACAAUAAAACAAGAAAUUACUAGAAUUUAGAAGUCGAAAUACUAAAGAAUCCUAGGAGCAAGCUUCGGGUUAGGAGAACUUGAUCCCGCAGGUACAAGCUUGGAGUAGACACCGACAGGCCGGGCUUCCUCCAAUCUACACCUCCACUCUAUCUCUCUCAAUCUAGUAGAAACUAGAAGAUCUAUUUCUACUUUACAUUGGUUGCUAAGCUUAAAAAGAAAUAUUAAUUAGAGAAGAGGUUUUCCUUCGAGGGCACUGUUGACGGUUCUUAAGUAUCAAUUUUAAUUAUUAAAUAAACAAGGGAAAGGACCAAUAUGCAACCAACACCUAGAAUUAGGGUUUGAUCUGACAGAAUUCCAUGAGUUUUGUUGUUUAUCUGUUUCUGCAGGGGGUUAUCAGGAAAUAAGGAAGAAAGGCCCACAUGUUGGGAUUACAUAGAGAUAUCAACGCACCGCGCGACUUUCUACCAUCUAGAAGACUCCAGAAGCCACAGGAAGAAGGCAGAGGCCGAAAGGGGCCAGGCCCAGGGCGCCCGCCCUGGUGACCUGGGCGCCCACCCCCUGCUGGAUGCCAAUCAGGACUCUCUUCCCACGGGAUGUUCCACCGACCUAUUGGAUCAAGGAAAACAUAGUACCACCACGC